GAGGGAAUCAAGUAGUAGAAGUGGACAGAACAUCUUCAUUGCUCUCCAAAUUUGGGCCAAGAUGCAUUUUAGGGUAAUGUCAGCUCAGUUAAUUCUACAUAUACCUAAGGAGGGAAAAAAAAUCCACUGCCCCAAGAAGUUAUGUUACCCAGCACCGUCACAGUCCUACAUCAUUAAUGUUAAAGCCAGACACUGCAAAAAAUACUUCUGAAAAAAAGGACUGCAAUGGGAAACAGCCUAUCAGGAAGCUCUUCAGAACUUCUCAGACCCUGAGCUAAAACCUGGAGAAGUGACAGC
Molecule: long non-coding RNA, 297 nt
Filed under: Fukomys damarensis (Damara mole-rat)
Lineage: Eukaryota; Metazoa; Chordata; Mammalia; Rodentia; Bathyergidae
Description: lncRNA (ENSFDAG00000025684.1)
Source: RNAcentral